CCUACGGGAGGCAGCAGUGAGGAAUAUUGGACAAUGGUCGAAAGACUGAUCCAGCCAUGCCGCGUGCAGGAAGACGGCCCUAUGGGUUGUAAACUGCUUUUGUUUGGGAAGAAACCUUUCUACGUGUAGAAAGCUGACGGUACCAUACGAAUAAGCACCGGCUAACUCCGUGCCAGCAGCCGCGGUAAUACGGAGGGUGCAAGCGUUAUCCGGAUUUAUUGGGUUUAAAGGGUCCGUAGGCGGACUUAUAAGUCAGUGGUGAAAUCCUGCAGCUCAACUGUAGAACUGCCAUUGAUACUGUAAGUCUUGAAUUCGGUUGAAGUGGGCGGAAUAUGGCAUGUAGCGGUGAAAUGCUUAGAUAUGCCAUAGAACACCGAUUGCGUAGGCAGCUCACUAAGCCUGGAUUGACGCUGAGGGACGAAGGCGUGGGUAGCGAACAGGAUUAGAUACCCUGGUAGUCCACGCCGUAAACGAUGAUUACUCGACAUUAGCGAUACACGGUUAGUGUCAUAAGCGAAAGNAUAAGUAAUACACCGUGGGUAGGUACGUUCGCGAAGAAGAGAAACGUACAAAUAGUAAGUUAGUACGGACGUGAGACGUACGACCGACGGACGACGACGAGGGGAGGAGGG
Molecule: ribosomal RNA, 632 nt
Filed under: uncultured bacterium
Lineage: Bacteria
Description: bacterial SSU rRNA
Rfam family: Bacterial small subunit ribosomal RNA (bases 1-535)
Source: RNAcentral